UACGAAGGGGGCUAGCGUUGUUCGGAUUAACUGGGCGUAAAGGGCGCGUAGGCGGAUUUUUAAGUCAGGGGUGAAAUCCCAAGGCUCAACCUUGGAACUGCCUUUGAUACUGGAGAUCUUGAGUCCGGGAGAGGUGAGUGGAACUGCGAGUGUAGAGGUGAAAUUCGUAGAUAUUCGCAAGAACACCAGUGGCGAAGGCGGCUCACUGGCCCGGUACUGACGCUGAGGCGCGAAAGCGUGGGGAGCAAACAGG
RNAcentral lists this ribosomal RNA (253 nucleotides) under uncultured bacterium. Its description in RNAcentral is "partial 16S ribosomal RNA". It matches the Rfam family "Bacterial small subunit ribosomal RNA", at positions 524 to 776 of the family's 1533-position model. The record is from RNAcentral.